UAUCUUCCAAAUUGACCAUUGAUCCUUUGGUUUGCCAUGUGUACAUGAUUGCCUCAAAGCCCAAUUUGAUGUCAUGUUGCUUAAACCCACACAAGCCAAAACAAAACCUUAAAGCAUAACUCAUAACAAACAAAAACCAAUGUGAGACCAAAGCCAUAUCACAUUCUAACAUGCCAUAAACAAGUGCAACCAACUCCCUAUAGUAGAC
RNAcentral lists this long non-coding RNA (208 nucleotides) under Lathyrus oleraceus (garden pea). RNAcentral describes it as "Pisum sativum (pea) long non-coding RNA (PSAT_LNC026285)". Lineage: Eukaryota; Viridiplantae; Streptophyta; Magnoliopsida; Fabales; Fabaceae. The record is from RNAcentral.